RNAcentral lists this ribosomal RNA (424 nucleotides) under uncultured prokaryote. RNAcentral describes it as "bacterial SSU rRNA". It matches the Rfam family "Bacterial small subunit ribosomal RNA", at positions 355 to 796 of the family's 1533-position model. The record is from RNAcentral.
UGGGGAAUAUUGGACAAUGGGGGCAACCCUGAUCCAGCCAUGCCGCGUGAGUGAAGAAGGCCUUAGGGUUGUAAAGCUCUUUCAGUCGUGACGAUGAUGACGGUAGCGACAGAAGAAGCCCCGGCUAACUCCGUGCCAGCAGCCGCGGUAAUACGGAGGGGGCAAGCGUUGUUCGGAUUUACUGGGCGUAAAGGGCGCGUAGGCGGUUUGCCAAGUUGAGGGUGAAAUCCCGGGGCUCAACCCCGGAACUGCCUUCAAAACUGGCAGACUUGAGUCCGGAAGAGGAGAGUGGAAUUCCCAGUGUAGAGGUGAAAUUCGUAGAUAUUGGGAAGAACACCGGUGGCGAAGGCGACUCUCUGGUCCGGUACUGACGCUGAGGUGCGAAAGCGUGGGGAGCAAACAGGAUUAGAUACCCGCGUAGUCC